RNAcentral lists this ribosomal RNA (255 nucleotides) under uncultured bacterium. RNAcentral describes it as "partial 16S ribosomal RNA". It matches the Rfam family "Bacterial small subunit ribosomal RNA", at positions 524 to 776 of the family's 1533-position model. The record is from RNAcentral.
UACGUAGGGUGCGAGCGUUUGUCCGGAAUUAUUGGGCGUAAAGAGCUCGUAGGCGGUGUGUCACGUCGGCCGUGAAAACCUGGGGCUUAACUCUGGGCGUGCGGUCGAUACGGGCAUCACUAGAGUUCGGCAGGGGAGACUGGAAUUCCUGGUGUAGCGGUGAAAUGCGCAGAUAUCAGGAGGAACACCGGUGGCGAAGGCGGGUCUCUGGGCCGAUACUGACGCUGAGGAGCGAAAGCAUGGGUAGCGAACAGG